AAAAAUAUAAAUAUUAUAACAGAACAAUAGAUGGUAAUUACCACAAUCUGUGUGUUCCUUCUCUGAGCAAUGCCUAAUUCUCUUAAAAUUAAUAAAUUUCUGUCAAUGCUAAA
This is a long non-coding RNA of Dipodomys spectabilis (banner-tailed kangaroo rat), 113 nucleotides long. RefSeq lists it as uncharacterized. Lineage: Eukaryota; Metazoa; Chordata; Mammalia; Rodentia; Heteromyidae. The transcript has 3 exons. The record is from RefSeq and is a predicted model, not a curated record.